This is a long non-coding RNA of Cydia strobilella, 133 nucleotides long. RefSeq lists it as uncharacterized. The record is from RefSeq and is a predicted model, not a curated record. The transcript is spliced from 2 exons. NCBI's taxonomy places the organism in Eukaryota, Metazoa, Arthropoda, Insecta, Lepidoptera, Tortricidae.
CCUGAGUCAUGGGUGUUUUCUAUGUAUUUAAGUAUUUAUAAAUAUUUGUCUAAGUACCCACAACACAAGCCUUAGUAAGCUUACUGUGGGACUUAGUCAAUUUGUGUAAUAAUGUCCUGUAAUAUUUAUUUAU